Dendronephthya gigantea is the source of this 762-nucleotide RNA transcript. It is a transcript of the gene named peptidyl-tRNA hydrolase ICT1, mitochondrial-like, with no coding region annotated. The transcript has 8 exons. The record is from RefSeq and is a predicted model, not a curated record. NCBI's taxonomy places the organism in Eukaryota, Metazoa, Cnidaria, Anthozoa, Malacalcyonacea, Nephtheidae.
ACAAAAAUGUUAAAAAAAUUUCCAGUUAUUGCUGGGUUUUCUAAAAAUGUAAGGGUAAUAACUUGGUCCCUCCGACGACUUCUCAAUGAUUUCAGGCGUAAUAAUGAUUCUGACGGAAAUGAAAAGUUGGAACAAUUUAGUGGUCGCAUCCCAAUAGACUCUCUCAUCAUAAAGUAUUCCAGAAGUCCUGGACCAGGUGGACAAAAUGUCAAUAAAGUUAACACAAAAGUUGAUAUCCGCUUUCAUGUAAUGUCGGCAGAAUGGAUACCAUAUUGGAUCAGACUGAAACUGCUCAAAGAGGAAGACAGUCGAAUCAACAGGCAAGGUGAACUAGUUGUGCAAUCAAGUCGAUUUCGAAAUCAACAGAAAAACCUAAUGGAUGGUGUUGAAAAAGUUCAAGAAAUAUUAAAAAAUGUCUCGAUUAUUCCAAGUGAAACAUCUGAAGAAAAGAAAGCAAAGAUUAAUGAAUUAAUGAAAUCUGAUAAUGAACGCCGAUUAAAAGAGAAGAAAUUGAGGUCGAAAAGAAAGCAGGAAAGAUUUCGAAAUGAGUAAAAUCAUCUUCUAAAGAGCCUGUUCUGAACACAAAGCCCAAAACCAGAGCGCCAAAUUUGUUCCUAGAAGAUGAGCCAGGGUGAUUUGAAUGAACGGCGUGUUUUCUGGAAUUCUUGCUUCAUAAAAAUGAUGAAGAAAUGGUAUCUGUGACAAGGGAGUGUUAUGCGUAAAAAAAUAUUUGGGGGAUGGUCAUAUUCUCGAAAUGUCUCG